This 204-nucleotide ribosomal RNA is filed under the name uncultured bacterium. Its description in RNAcentral is "partial 16S ribosomal RNA". It matches the Rfam family "Bacterial small subunit ribosomal RNA", at positions 524 to 726 of the family's 1533-position model. The record is from RNAcentral.
UACAGAGGAGCCAAGCGUUGUCCGGAUUGACUGGGCGUAAAGCGCACGCAGGCGGUUGCGCGCGUGGGGUGUGAAAUCUGGCCGCUUAACGGCCAGGCGCCAUCCCAUACGGCGCGACUGGAGUGAUGCAGAGGUCGAUGGAAUUGCCGGUGUAGUGGUGAAAUGCGCAGAUAUCGGGAGGAACACCUAUGGCGAAGGGCAGCC